ACUCUAUGAUAAAGGCACUUCCGUAAUAACUCUUUGUACCUUUCCCAUGCCUCAUACAAGGACUCAUCAUCCAUUGUUGAAAAGUAGUGAUCUCAUUCCUCAAUUU
This 106-nucleotide small nucleolar RNA is filed under the name Gossypium arboreum. Its description in RNAcentral is "Plant small nucleolar RNA R71". It matches the Rfam family "Plant small nucleolar RNA R71". From Rfam's summary of the family: R71 is a member of the C/D box family of snoRNAs containing the C (UGAUGA) and D (CUGA) box motifs. Multiple nearly identical copies of this snoRNA have been identified in Arabidopsis, and it is thought to function as a 2'-O-ribose methylation guide for 18S ribosomal RNA. Lineage: Eukaryota; Viridiplantae; Streptophyta; Magnoliopsida; Malvales; Malvaceae. The record is from Rfam by way of RNAcentral.